CAAUAGCGUAUAUUAAAGUUGUUGCGGUUAAAAAGCUCGUAGUUGGAUUUCAACCGAUGCGAACUGAGUUGGACAUUGUUCGACUUUGGUUUUGCAGAGGUGUCUCGAGUUGCAUCUUUCUGUGAUUGGUUUCGCUGAUAGAGGCACUCGACUUUUACUUUGAGGAAAUUGGCGAGUUCAAAUCAGGCAUAAGCCUUGAACAGCUUAGCAUGGAAUAAUAAGAUAGGACUUAGGUUCUAUUUUGUUGGUUUUGGGAACUUAAGUAAUGAUUAAUAGGAACAGUCGGGGGCAUUCGUAUCCGUCCGCCAGAGGUGAAAUUCUUAGAAUGGACGCAGACGAACUACUGCGAAAGCAUUUGCCAAGGAUGUUUUCAUUGA
Molecule: ribosomal RNA, 377 nt
Filed under: uncultured eukaryote
Lineage: Eukaryota
Description: partial 18S ribosomal RNA
Rfam family: Eukaryotic small subunit ribosomal RNA
Source: RNAcentral